AGACAUCUUCCAGGUAUUAUGUCAAAAGAAGUUUGCAUUGUUGUUGGAUGAUAUAUGGGAAUGGUUUGAUCUCACAAGAGCCGGGGUACCUCUUCCAACACAAGAAAAUGGCUCUAAAGUCAUUUUCACAACUCGUCGUCUUGACGUGUGCUGUCAAAUGCAACCGAACAUGGAUAAUAAUAUCAGAGUGGAAUGUUUACCACCAGGAGAAGCUUUCAAACUGUUCGAGGAGAAGGUUGGAUCAGAAACCCUUCGAAUGCAUCCAGAUAUUUGCAAGUUAGCUGAAGCGGUGGUUGAAGAGUGUGCAGGGCUACCUCUCGCUCUCAUUACAAUUGGGCGAGCCAUGGCAUCCAAGAAGACCCCUCGAGAAUGGGAAUAUGCUACAGAAGUUUUAAGGCAAUCAGCAGCCUCUGUGUUGCCAGGGGUAGGGAAAGAGAUGUAUCCCAAGUUAAAGUUCAGUUAUGACUGUUUGCCUGAUGAAAGGUUCAGAUCUUGUUUCUUGUAUUGUUCUUUAUAUCCAGAAGAUUAUCUCAACGAAAAAGACGAACUAGUACAUUGUUGGGUCGGGGAAGGACUUUUGGACGAGCAUACCAAUUUGAGCAAUGCCAGAAACCAGGGACAUUUCGUUAUAGGUUCUCUUAUUGACGCAUGCUUAUUAGAGAAAGGACAAAAUAAUGUUAGUGUAAAGAUGCACGAUGUGAUUCGCGACAUGACUUUGUGGAUUGCUGGUGAAUCUGAGAAGGAGAAGUUUUUUGUAAAAUCAGGCGUUCAGUUAAAGGAACAACCGAAAGCUAAAAAGUGGGAAGAGGUAACAAGAAUGUCUCUGAUGGUGAAUCAAAUUGAAAAUCUAACUGAGAUAUUGGAAUGUCCCAAUCUCCAAACUUUGUUUCUUGGCAGGAAUGAAUUGAAGGUAAUCAUGGAUGAUUUCUUUAAUUUCAUGCCGAUGCUAAGGGUUCUGGACUUGUCUGAAAAUAUGAAUUUGGAAGAAUUGCCAGUAGGAAUUGCAAAGUUGGUUUCACUAGAACAUCUAAAUUUGACACGGACAGGAAUAAAAAAGUUGCCAGUCGAAUUGAAGACCCUAGCAAAGCUGAAAUAUUUGAAUCUGGAGUGGACACGCGAUCUAAAAAUGAUCCCACAACAAUUGAUAUCCAGUUUCUCCAAGUUGCAAGUACUGAAAAUGCACGGAUGUGGCUAUGGAUGUUUAUUGGUUUUGGAGGAAUUGGAGCAUUUAAAAUAUUUGAAUGUGUUGACUCUUACUUUUGGAAGCUUUUCAGAGUUGGAAAAAGCUUCGAGGUUCAACAAGGUCUUUAGCUGUGCCAUUGAACAUGUAAGCCUUAUAGAUUUCAGAGAUUCAAGAUCAUUGAAUAUGACGGCUUUAGCAAAACUGCAGCAUCUAUGUAUUUUAUGGCUCUGGAGGGGUGUGGAUCUAGAGGAAGUGAAGAUCGAAAGUAACAUAAUUGAAGGUGCAGGAUGCUUCCAUAGCCUUCGAAAUGUAAACCUAGCCGGAUGCAAUCAUUUGAGGGAUGUGAGUUGGGUAACUUUUGCUCCACAUUUGGAAGAACUAGAGAUAUAUAAAUGCAAUGGUUUAGAAGAAAUCAUCAGUGAAGAAAAACUUGGUGAAGUCUCUGAGCUAAAAGGAAAUUUAAACUUAUUUUCUAAGCUCAAGAUCACUUUGUUUCUACGAUAUCUGCCCAAACUAAAGACUAUAUACCACCAUGCUCUGCCUUUCCCACAGCUGAAGGAAAUCACAAUUGACGAAUGCCCAAUGCUGAAGAAGCUCCCACUAAACUACAAUAGUGCAAAAGGACAGGGGCUCAUCAUUAAGGAGACGAGGGGUGGUGGAAAGAUGUAGAAUGGGAGGAUGAAUCCACUCGAACUGCUUUUCUCCCCACUUUCAAACUUCAUGUAUUCUAAGAAAUGUGGGAUAUUAAUUAAGGCUUAAAACCAUUAUUGUAUCAUAAAAUGUGUCAUUGCAAGUUCUUAUUUUGUUUAUCCCUGAAUUACAUCAUGUUUGAUUUUUUGUUUUACACAAUGACGUUUUCCUUUAUAUAAAAUAAAAUGUUUAAAUUUGAGAAUAUAUGAUGUUAAUGAAUUAUAAUUUGAAGAAUAACUCUGAACACAUCACAUCAUUUUCUUUACUAAAAAUUUUGAUAAUUAUAGUAAAAUUAAAUUUUUUCCUAUUGUGUAUAUUUAAAAAUGAGAUAAUUUUUCUUAAAGGAAAGUAAACUAUAAAUGUGUUAAUUAUAAAUUUAUAAUUUUAAAAAGAGAAAAAUUAAGUUUAAAUAUAAUUAUAUUCAGUGACAUAAUAUAAAUGCUGAAAUAUUUCAAUAUUUGUAUAUUAAAUUCAUUAAUACAAAUUACUAACAUUUUAAAAUUUUUAUGAUUAUAGAAUGCUACUACAAAAAUUUAACAUAUAAAUUUUUUUUAUGAUGUUUCUGCAAAGAUAAUUGGUUAUAUUAUUAAAUUAGGAUAUUACAAAUUAAAACAUAUUUAAAAAAAAAUUGGGGAAACUUAAAUGUAUACCCCACUCUUAAUUUCAUUCCAUUAAAAAGUUUUAUUAUAAUUAAUUAAGUUUUAAUUCAAUUAACACCUGACAAUAAUACUUAAACAUGUAUUAACCUUAGAUUCACAGAUUAUUUUUUAAAAAAUUAUUAUUCAUAUGUAAUAUUUAAAUGAAUUGGUGAUAUUAUUAGUUUUAAAUAAUUUUCUUUAAAAGAAACCAACUUAAUAGUUUCAGCAACCAAAUUAUUAAAUAAAAAAUUAAAGAUAAUCAGGGUUAUAGCAACUUAAUUUUUGGAAAAAAGGGUGAGAAAAUUAACUAUUUUUCAUUUGAAAAAUCAAUAGCUAUUUAAUUGCUUAUUUAUAUUUAUCUUUUAUCUUUUUAUUAUUAAUUUUAAAAAUAAAUAAAACAAGACUUCUGCCUUAUAUCUAAUUUAAUUGUUUAUCACACAUAAUGUUCCAUGUUAAUAUCCCAUUAUAAACAAAACUAGACUUAAAUAAGUUUAAAAUUAAUCAUUUACAAAUAUCGACAAGCAAAAACUUGCAAGAUUUAAGCAUUGAAUUGAUCAAUGACUACUUAUACUCAAAGUGAGAUUAUGUGUAUGAAUUAUGUAGAAUCACAGUGUCAUAAACAAGUUAUAGCAAAGUUAUUAAUAAGUGAUGAGUGGAGAAUAUGAUAUGCCAAAUUGUAACAAACACUACUAAAUGUGCUUACCACAGCCUUAGCUAUAAUUGCACAAACCAUGACAAGGAGUUGGAAAAAGAAAAGAAAGGCUUUGCAUUACCUUCUACUCAAACAGUAAUGACAACUCUCCCUAAAAUCCAUUCGAACAAAACUUCAACCCCACAAUUAGGAUCAGCAAUUACUUAUGGUUUCAUCAGAUUAUACCAUACUGAAAUGUCUCAUUUUUUACAUCUAUUUUUGUCAUACAAUGCUCAACCUACUUCCUUUGCAUUUUGAAUCUACACACCGGCUUCCAAGGUUGCGAACCAGAUGACUGCAAAGGACAUUAAUAUUGUAGUAAGUAUUCAAGGCAGUCAAUAUGCAACUUAUUAGCUAUAUACUCACAAAGAUGCGUAAGCACAAUACCUGUAAUGAAGUCGUAUUUGCUCCCACUGACCUUUUAUCCAAAUUCUGAGUAUGCUCAACUAUAGAACCUGUAAAAGCCUGCACAUAUAGCCAAUAAAUCAUGAUGGAUAAAGGCACAUAAACAACACACCCUAAUAAUUAAUCAAAGUAACCAGCAUGGUAGAGGUAGCAUACCUUGGAACUAUCAAAUUCUGAUUUUGAGGCCUGGACAGAUUUCUGUAACACAAAAUUGGAGUUAAAAAAGAUGGCUAGCAGCCCUCUCAUCGGUGAUUUGCAUUUAUUAAUACAAUAUAGAGAGAACAAGGCUUGAUACAAGGUCAUUGAUGUUAUCCAAAGAUCUAUUCUGAAAUAACAUGAAUGAUCUCAUGUUGGCUGUCUCUAUUUUUCCUUCUCCCAAAGAGCAGAGCUCAAAUAUAAGCUACAGCUACCUUAUUUCAUUAUGAUGGUUCUGCUUCAAGCUUACCUUCUCAAAAGGAGCAGAGGCAUUUAUGGAAGGACUUAAAGUCUUUGUGUCUUGAUGUAUGAUUCGACCAUGUGAAAUUUCACCUGAAUAAGAUAAAAUAAAGGAAUUGCCUCAUCUAUAAAUCAAACUCGAAAUGAUUUUCACAUCUAUCAGUAGAUAACAUAAUAUCUUUACCCUCCUUGAGUUUGCAUGAUUGACCACAUGCAUAAGUCAGAAACAUAACCAUCAUAGUUACCUUUGGUAACAGGUUCCUCUGUCAAUCCAGUAGACUGCAUUUCAGAUAUACAGAAAUCAGACUUCAGGAUUCAUUUAUCAAUAAGUUAGAAGGAUUAUCAAAGAAAGGCUAAAAGACAAAGAAGGCAUGCAAAGAUUUAAUCACUUACAGUGAACUGAUUAGUUAAAUAAAUCUUGAUGCUUAUAUUUAUUGGACAUCUCUUCAAUUGGUUCUUUGCCGUUGAACUGCUGUAGUUGUUUCCUUGACUGAGACUGAUACAGCUAUUUCAUAAGUGACACAUUCAACAUACAAUUGUAUUAACAGGUAAAAAGCACCAAGUCCCAAAAUUACCUCUGAAUAUCUUUGACCAUGAUCAAGAUAACUGUAACAUUCAUCCUUUUUUCUAUGAAAAGCAGCUUUAGUCAACUCAUCUUCAUCACCAUCACCUUCAGCAGCUUUAGUCAAUUCAUCUUCAUUGCCGUCACUUUCAACUGCAUUAGCAUCUUCAUCUUCAUCUUCAAGAUUCUCCUCAUUCUCUUCAGCUGCAAGUUCUUCUUUCUCAAGCUCUUCCAACCUUGACAUUAUACGAGCAUAUUCAUCAUCCUCAGAUGCACCCAUUUUAUUGUCUGCUUCAGCCACACUAGGAGUUUCAAGUUCCAGUGAACCUGAAAAGAAAACAUUUUGUCUAACUUAAAUUCCUCAACUUCAUUAAAAUAAGCAAUAACCAUUUCAUCACAAUCAGUUAAGAUAAUUAGGCUGCAUAAUAACAAGUACCUCGACAAAAGAAGUUCUAACAAAAGAAGAACGAACAAGAUAUUAAGCAACAUGUUAAAAGAGAUAUUGCAAGCAACCAGCAUACGAAGUUCACAUAAAACAUAAUCCAGAAUCUGUUUGCUAGAGGAUCAUCCUUGCUAGAGCAUCUUCAUGUUUCUCUAAGCUUUUCCAUUUACUGGGAAGAGUCUUUGAGAAUCAUACAUAAGUGUCAUACAUAGAUGCUUUAGAAAUAAACAAGAGCUGAAAAAACAUGGGUUUAAUGGUUGACGAUGGUUCACCCGGAGACCAAGAACCUUAUAGAUGAAUGGGGGUCGGAGGUGUUCCUGACUAUGGGAGCUCUUGAUGGAUUCCAAGAGGAAGAGGAGAGGAACUCCCCCUUUCUCUUGGGUUUUCCUUGUCUUUUACUAGGUCAUAGGGAAAGUUUAUAUGUAACCAUUAAGUCCUUUGGGACAAGCGUGUACAUAAGGGUCACGUGUAUAUCAUGUUAAGCACAUGUGUCCAUAAUCUUGUAUCAUUUGGUAAGGUGAGAUCUCCAUGCAUGGUGAUUGACCUAGUUAGGGCUUCCAAGCGUAAUGGUGACAUAUAACAAAGUGUAAAACAUAAAAACACAACCUUUUUAAUUUUUACAUUCAUCUCAUAUAGUUCCUUUCUUUUGGUCAAAAUUAUUGUAGAUUGAUGAUACGGAUAUAAAGAAGAAGACAAACAAAGAUAUCAAUAUGGCAACCAUGUUUGACAUAUUCUAAGGAAACACAGAAUCGUGAGGCUCGAACAGUUGGUACAAAACAGGAACACUUUUGCACAAACAGUGGAAAACAUAUUUGCAUUAUCAUUUCUAGCCAAAGAUGGUCGUGCUGAUAUUAAACUGGAUGAAAAAGGCAUUCAUUUAGUCUGUAAGAUACUUCUAAAAUUUCAACUUAUAGUCCCAUUUCCAAAGCUUUUUGUUUAUUAUUCAAUUUUAAGAAUCUAACUAUUUCUAUUCUAUUAGCACCAAAGAAUGCUCCUACUGCUACAGCAAUAGCAUCAGAAGAAGUUGUUUACAAUCACUUUGUUUUCAGAUUUGACUUUAAGGAUUGGAAGGUACUUUCGGGAGUAAAAUUAUUAUGGAUGCGUCGUACUAGGAGUCGAAUUGUAUUUUGCUUAUUUUACUUGGAAAAUGACAAAUUAGUUCCUCUACUUUAGAUAAAAAAAAGUAAACUGGUCUUUCUAUUAAAAAUUUUAUCUAUUUCUAUGUUAAAAACUAGUCCAUGAGCAUUUGUAGCAUUGCCAGAAAGAACUGAUUUGCUCUUUGAUUCAACAUAUAGGAAUUGAUUUGUUCUUUUUUUUUUUUCAGUAAAGAGGUAAAAAUUCAAUCUAACUCCUAGUAUAUGAGCAUUGAUUACUUUUACUUACUUUUAGAUUUAUAUAUUUUAGCUUUAACUUAUUCAUUUUUGUUUGGUUGUGUUUCUUUUGUGCAUUUCCACGGCUGAUGAUAGAUUAUAUUGAGGUUGGCCAUGAACUGAUGCCCCGUAGGGAUUAAAGUUGAAAGCAUUACAGCAAUUUUAACUUGCAUAUAUGCAACUGAUCUUCUUCUACAAAACUUGAAGCAAAAGGUAUUUAGAAACACCAAUCUGAAAGGUAACUAGGAUUCAUGAUUUUAAUGGCAUAGGUUGUUGGUGUUGUUUUUGUUUAAUUGUAUGGCUUACAAUUGGGGCGUAAUUGGUUUAGUUCAUAGGAUAAUCGUUGUCGAUGCCAAGGCUUCUAUAAUAUUCCCUGGCUUUUUUUGUUUGCUCUUUUGCAGCUUUCUUUUAAGAAAGUUUAGUAAUCUCUGGUUUACUUUUGAUGAAAAAAAAGUAUGUAAAAGUUAUGUUAAAAGAAAUCGAGUUUUGGUUAAAAUUAUAUUGUUUAAAUUGAAACUGAUUGUUUGGACUAAGAAUCAGUCGUGAGAUUAGUAUGGAGAAAAGGAUUAAAAUGCUUGACGUACGAACUGUUUAAAACCGAUUUAAUUAGACUACAAAACUGAUUGAAGCAAUUAAAAUGGUAAUUUAAACAAUAUAUAUAUUAAUAAACGGAUUAAAAUUUCAAAUUUAAUAAAAUACAAUAACUAAAUUCUAUAAAAUUAUAGAGACUAGAAAGGGCUAAAAUUCGGCCAGACCUUGUUUUGUUAGCAACGGUGUUUAUCUUUGUACAUAGCUAAAAGUAUUUUAACCGCCGAUUAAAUAAUAAGCACCGGUGGUGUAGUGGUAGAAUACAGACUCGCUGGGUUUGAUUCCUAGCUGAUAAAAUUUCCUUCUAAUAAUUUUAGUUUCUCUACUUUAUGAAUUGAUCAAUUUCAGUAUCUAAACCGUAGCAGUUAAAUCCAUUUGGUUAAAUUUAAUUGUUAGUCUUGCACUAUACUUACAAUUGUAGAACUGAUAAGUAUUCUCUAAUCGGAUCAUUCUAAAUCAUAUAUAUAUAUAUUUGAAAUUCUAGUGUUGACACAAAUGAUAAUAAUUAAUCUAUUAACUAUAUUUUUAAUGCGUAAUGUUUGUGGAUAACAAGUUGACAUGACAUUAUACAUAUAUAAGAUAACAUGUUCGGUGCAUCAUAUUUUUGGAAACAGUAAAAUUUAAUAGUUGCCGCUUGUUAAGGAUUGAAAUUUUAAAAUUUGAAAAGUACUAGAAUUAAAGAUGACCAAAUUAAUAUAUAGGAAUUAAAUCGAUAACUUUCACAAAUUAUAGGGAUUAAUAGCAAAAUUUAACGAACAAAAAUUUUCACAUAUUUAAAUUCAAUAGAUUGCAUGGAUAAAAAUAAGUAUGGUUCUAUCCAACCCAAAACGAGUGUAAAUUAUUUUUUUUUGUGGAGUUAUAGAAUUAAAAUUUAAGAAUUACAUUUAAGUAUAUUUGGAAAUAGCUCUUUAUAUUUUUAUUUUUAAAAAUUUAGUCUUUUUAUUUUUCUAAUUUAAAGAUUUGAGUGCAGCUAUUAACAUUGUUAAAAAUUUUAUGUUAAAUUUAUUGACUUGACAUUCUAAUUUUUUAAAAUCCUCGCUUAGUAACCACAUGACAAAAAAAGAAAAAAAAGAAAAAAGAAGAAGAAAUGUGAUAAAUCUAAAUUUAAUUAAGAAUUUUAACGGUGUUGAGAAUUCUAAAUUUAGGGACGAAUGUAAAAUGACCCGAACAACAAUUCAAAUCUGAAAUCUUUUGAAUCCAAAGUGAUUCAAAAAGUUUAAAUUAAAAAUGGACACAACCAAGGUAAAUUUAUCAAUGACUAAUGCUACCAAAAAAAAUUAGGAACUAAAUAAAAAAAAAACAUCAAAUUUAGGGGCUAAGUGUUACCUUACCAAUUUUUCUAGUGAUAGAGAAGAAUUGGACUGGUCCAACUCGUAAUUUAGUUUUUCCCUGCCUCCAACCCCAUCUACUUAAUUCAUGUUGAAAAUUGAGUUGCGGGUCUCUAGCUGAUCCCCGAGGUUAAUUACAAUUGAAUGACGCAAUGGGGUAACAACAAUCCAUGCUCACCAUGGUUGGCGGCUUGAAAGAGUAAGAUAAUGCCACCAGCAUCUGUAUGAGGGUCGAGACUUGAUAUUUCAUGUCUUGCUUAGAUUUUCUUAUAUGUUGCACCUUUAAUGAUUCCCAUAUAUUCGAUGGAUUAUCUGUUUCAUUUUGAGUUCUUUGUAUAAGGGCACCAUUGGGCCUUAAUUUUAAGUCCUAUUGUGGAUUGCUGCAAAUGUUAUUAAGCAAAGCAAGGGGCAUUGAGGAGCUACAUCACAUUCAAAGCAAUAAUAUUGGGUUUUUAUAAGGUACACCCCUACUUUAUUUGUUUGCUUAUUUCUCUCAUUGGGGUUUUGGCUUGUGAAGAGAUAUCUCAUUACAACCUUGUUCAAGAUGUAGUUAAUGCUGUUCUCAGUGCAGCUUUUCAAGGGAUAUAGCUAGCUGAAAACAUGGUCCUCAAGUUCAGGUUGCAGCAACCAAGGCUCUGUAUAAUGCCUUGGAGCUUUUGAAGAGAUCAACUUUGAGAAUGAGAUGAGCCUUAAAUGCAAACCCUAUUUCAGCUUACAUCAAAUGCUAUAAAGGGCGACGAAGAGACUUUAGCUCUCCAAGCAAUUGAGUUCUGGAGCUGUGUCUGUGGUGAAGAGAUUGAACUUCGGGAGCUUGAGAGUCCUGAAAGUGGUGACUCUGGACCUUCCCAUUCUGGUAUUCCUAAGAAGGCUUUAUUGUCUGCUAUUCCUUUAUUGUUGGAAACUUUGCUGAAGCAGAAAGAGGAUCAAGACCAGGAUGAUACAAUCACAAACAUAUAUAUGGCUUGUGGGACUUGUCUUGUUCUUUUUGCCAGAACGGUUGGAGGUAUGAUCUGGAUAGUAGUUGAAUCUAUUCUGUUUGAAUUAUUUUUCAAGUAUAAAAUUCUUAUAUCUGUAAUUAAAAGCAUAGAACAGUCGCCCCUAAAUCCUCUUAUCCUAUACAAGCCUUGUAAUACAUAUAACUGUUUAGGCUUACUAACAUACUAUUAAUUGAAUACAAUGCAAUCCCUUAAAAUUAGUAGCUACAAAAUAAGAAAGGUAAUACACUAAUAAAGUCCAAUAAGAUGAGAUAUGACGGAGAUUCAGCCUUCAAAAAAAUCCAUCAUGCAAUCUUGAAGGAUUCUCCAUAGUUUAAGGGUUAUAAUUAUUGAAUCCAAUUCAAUAUUUAAAUGAAAUUAAACAUGUGAGUAAUUUGUAAAUAUAGAAAUUACAUAUGUAGACACUUAAGUGUAUAUUAAAUAAUUGCACAUGUUUCUUUUUUAAUGGGAUCUUAAUAAUUGAGGUUCCUUGUUGACCCAACAUGCUGAUUUUUAUAAUAUACCAACUUUACACCAGCUAUCACUAAAUUAAAAUAUAUUGUAUUGAUGUUCUGAAUUGAAGUAAGAAAUUGCCUGUCUUCCCACCAGAAGUCAACUCAAUCAUUUUCACAUCUACACACGUUUUCAUCAUAUUCACUAUCAUCUUUUUAUUAUUUUAUAUUUUUAUUUUUCUGGCAUCAUGUGAACUUCCAAAAGAAUAAUAAAUUGCACAUGGUAUCCACUGCACACAAAAGACGCCUUACAAUGGACCCAUUGUGUCAAAACCAAAUAAAGUGGGAUAAAAGAGAGCUGUGUGCAAUGCAAGUCUUCCCACCAAGUCAAUGAUUUAUUCACCAUCUUUUUUCCUUUUUUUUGGUAUCAAAAUGCAUGUGAACUUCCAACAGUUUGUCUUUGUCUUUCGCCCCCUUGUAGUCUCAAACUUUCAUACAACUCCAUAAGCAUCUUUGAUUUAAUCCUUGCUUCUAUUUCCAGAAAUUGUUCAACUCACUCUUCUACAGUCAAAACCAGGUAUGGGUAAUAUCUUCUCAGUCUCACUUUCCCUCGAUCCCAUCAUUACCCGUUGCUCGGAUUGUGCUACUGGACAAGCAAGUUAUAUAUGCAACCUCGAAGAUAACCUCCAUGCUUUACAAGCAGAAGUAGCAGGACUGAAGGCGAUCAGGAGGGAUCUGAUGAGCAGGGUCAGGGUCGCUGAAGAUGAGAAGCAACUUAAGCGGCUACCCCAAGUUGACCUUUGGCUUUCGAGGGCUGAAACUCUGAUAAACGAUGCUGAUCAACUGAUUGUCCAAGGCCCUCAGCAUGUUGAAAAUCUAUGUAUGGGAGGUUGUUGCACCACUCAUCCUAGGUCCAGCAUCAAGUUCGGGAAGCAAAUUGCCAAAAAACUCCUAGAGGUGAAAGACCAGAAGGAGAAUGGAGAUUUCAGUGGUGUGGCCAGCAAGCCACCACUUCCUUCAGCAACUGAAAGACCUAGUGAGCCGACUGUGGGUUUAGAGUCCAAUUUCAACAAGGUCUGGAGCUGUCUUCAAAAGGAACAAGUGGGAAUUAUUGGCAUAUAUGGCUUAGGAGGGGUUGGCAAGACAAGCCUCCUAAGCCAAAUCAAUAACAAAUUCCAUGAUACUACCCAUGAUUACCAUGUCAUUUGGGCAGUUGCAUCACAAGAUCGGCCAAUUGAGAGAGUCCAGGAUCAAAUUACCGAAAGAAUAGGCCUUUCUAAUGAAGGUUGGAAAUCUAAGAGCCUUGAUGAGAAAGCUGAAGGCAUCUUCCAGGUAUUAUGUAAAAAGAAGUUUGCAUUGUUGUUGGAUGAUGAAGUUGGUUCAGCAUGCAGCAAACUCGACAGCAUGCAGGCCAUCAAGACCAAGUCAUGCAGGAGCUGCUGGAACGAGCUGAACUAUUCCUAUUUUGUUCAACUUGUAAUCUUAAGUUAAUGUAAUGUACUUUAGUUCAUUUAGAACUAUGUUAGGUUUAUGAUUGAUGUAUUUUGAUGACAAUUAAGCUGUUAAGUCAGCUUUGUUUAAGUGUGCAAGCUUAGUUUUUCAAGUUUCAAUGUAUUAGUGGUAGUAGGUGAUGAUUAGGUAUCAUUAUGCAGAUUUUGACAAGCAAAUUGCUUGGUUUAUGUAUUGGCAUUAUGCCAUUGUUCAACCUAUGAAUGAAGUUUAGUUUGUUCAUCAAUUUUCCUCUUCAUUUUCUUAGCUUUUUCCUUUCUUUCUUCUGGCUCGAAUUCUCUUGUUUGCUCAGCAAGUCUCGAGACUUGGUUGACAAGUUUGCACUGAUUCUGUUAAGUUUCAGUUACAGCACCAACAAUUGGUAUCUAGAGCCUAUUUCUUAAGGGAUCUGUUACACAAUUCCAUGGCUUCAUCAAGCUUUUCACCAGCUGCACCUCAAGUCUUCAAUGGAGAAGGCUAUCACAUAUGGGUGGUCAAGAUGAAGACCUACCUGCAGGCUUUCGAUCUGUGGGAGGUGGUCAACUCUGAUGUUGAACCAGAGCCACUUAGAGCUAAUCCAACAGUGGCUCAGAUCAGGCAGCAUGCUGAUGAAAGGACCAAGAGGCACAAAGCUAUGUCUUGCAUCCAAAACUCAGUGUCUGAUGUGAUUUUCACAAGGAUUAUGGCCUGUGAAUCACCAAAACAGGCCUGGGACAAGUUGCAGGAAGAGUUUCAAGGGACAGAGAGGACAAGGCAGCAACAGUUGUUAAACUUGAGGAGAGAUUUCGAGAAUUUGAAGAUGAAGGAAGAAGAAACUGUCAAGCAAUAUUCUGACAGGAUUAUGGCUGUGGUUAACAGCAUCAGGCUCCUUGGAGAGCAGUUCAAUGAAGCUAGGAUAGUGGAGAAGGUUAUAGCAACUCUGCCUGAGAGGUAUGAGGCAAAAAUCUCAUCUCUCGAGGACUCAAGGGAUCUGUCCACCAUCUCCCUGACAGAGUUAAUCAAUGCUCUAUAUGCUCAAGAGCAGAGGAGAGCAAGCAGACUGGAGGAGCACCAAGAAGGUGCCUUUCAGGCAAGAGCAAAUACUGCCUACAAAGGCAAGAAGGCCUGGAGAGACAAGCCAAAGAAUGAUGCUGCAAGGAGAGAAGGUCAGACUUGCAAGCACUGUAGAAAGGCUGGUCAUUCAGAAGAAAAAUGCUGGUUCAAUCCAGAUGCUGUGUGUCAGCAUUGUAAGAAGAAGGGUCAUGUUGAGAGAGUCUGCAAGAGUAAGACCAAAUCGAGGCAGAAUCAGUUUCAACAGAUGAAAGCUGAGGCUCGAGUAGCUAAGGAGGACAGUGACCAAGAGGAGCAAGUCUUUGCUGUGUCAUGCUCAGCUGCUCAGGAAAAGUCCUCAUCUGGUUGGCUCCUAGACAGUGGAUGCACCAACCACAUGACACCUGAUGCUGCAAUCUUCAAGUCUUUAGACAGAAGCUGCAGAACUAAAGUCAAGAUAGGAAAUGGUCAUUUUAUUCAAGCUGAAGGCAAGGGUGAUGUGCUGAUAUGCACCCUCACAGGUACCAAAGUGAUUUCAAAUGUGCUGUUGGUGCCUGAAAUUGACAGAAACCUGCUCAGCAUAGCUCAGUUGCUGGAAAAAGGUUAUUCAGUUGUGUUUAAAGACCACCAGUGCCAAAUCAGUGAUCCAAGUGGAUCCAAACUGAUGGCAGUCCCUAUGGCUGAUAAGAGCUUUGUGGUUGACUGGACAAAAAAGUCAGACAUUGCCUACACAGCCACUUCAGAUGAAUCCAAGCUGUGGCAUCAAAGACUGGGACAUGCCAACUUCAGAUCGAUGGCUCGAAUGGUCAGAGAGGACCUGGCUGAAAAUUUCAUCAACUCAGUGGACCAUGAUGAUGUAUGUGAUGUAUGUCAGCUAGGAAAGCAGGCCAGACUCCCAUUUCCCUCGAAUCAAGCCUGGAGAGCCUCUGAAAAACUCCAACUGGUGCAUACUGAUGUGUGUGGCCCUAUGAAGACUGAGUCAUUAAGUGGAAACAGGUAUUUCAUACUGUUCAUUGAUGAUUUCUCGAGAUAUUGCUGGAUUUACUUUUUAAAACAGAAAUCAGAGGUGGCCUCAGUGUUUUGGAAGUUCAAGACUGCUUCUGAGACUGAAACAGGCUGCAAGCUGAAGACCAUAAGGUCUGAUAAUGGGACUGAAUACACCUCAGCUCAGUUCCAAGCCUUCUGUGAUAAGGCAGGCAUCAAACAUCAACUUACCAACACAUAUACACCUCAGCAGAAUGGGGUAAGUGAAAGGAAGAAUAGGAGUUUGAUGGAUAUGGCCAGGUGCUUGAUGAUUCAGAAGAAUCUGCCUAAAGCACUAUGGGCAGAAGCAGUUAACACUGCAACAUACAUUCAAAAUAGACUUCCAACCAAGGCUUUGGAUCAAAAGACCCCAUUCGAGGCCUGGUUUAGCUUCAAGCCAUCACUGGCUCAUCUGAAGGUCUUUGGAUGCAUCUGUUAUGCACAUGUACCUGCUGUUAAAAGGGACAAAUUGUCUGAAAGGGCUCGACCUGGUGUUUUGGUGGGGUAUAGCACUGUUAAGAAGGGCUAUAGGAUUUUAGAUCCUUCAACAAACAAAGUGUCAAUAAGCAGGGAUGUGGUAUUUGAUGAGAGGUCAUGUUGGAACUGGGAAAGACAUGAACCUGAAGAAGUUUCUGAAGAACUUGCAGCAGACCAAGCUGAGCCAGACCAAAAUGUCCCUGAAAUGGAUAUUGAUGAUGAACCAGUCAGAGGAACAAGGUCAUUGGCUGAGAUUUAUGAAAGGGCUCAUGUAGCCAUAGCUGAACCAAGCAACUUUGAAGAGGCUGAGGCUCAACAAGGGUGGAAGCAGGCAAUGGCUGAGGAGAUCAGCAUGAUUGAGAAGAACCAGACCUGGAAAUUGGUUGAAAGGCCAGUUAAAAGGAAGGUGAUUGGGGUGAAAUGGGUGUACAAAGCCAAGCAGAAUGCUGAUGGUACCUUGAACAAGCUAAAAGCAAGGCUAGUUGUCAAGGGGUUCAGUCAGAGGUAUGGCUUGGACUACCUGGAGACCUUUGCACCAGUGGCCAGGCUCGACACCAUCAGACUGCUGAUUGCCUUAGCAGCACAGCUCGAAUGGAAGAUCCAUCAACUUGAUGUGAAAUCAGCCUUUCUGAAUGGUUUCUUAGAUGAAGACAUCUAUGUUGAACAACCACAAGGGUUUGAAAUAGCUGGCAGAGAGCAUAUGGUCUACAAACUGAAGAAGGCCCUAUAUGGAUUAAAACAGGCUCCAAGGGCUUGGUAUAGCAGAAUCGAUGGCUACUUGACUGAUCUGGGAUUCGAUCGAAGCAAGAGUGAGCCAACACUGUAUGUCAAGAAACAAGGGACACAAAUACAGCUCAUUGUAUCCCUGUAUGUUGAUGAUCUUCUAGUGACAGGAGGAGAUAAAGGAGUGCUGGCUGACUUCAAGACCAAGAUGCAAGAAGUGUUUGAAAUGUCUGAUCUUGGGGAGAUGUCAUAUUUUCUCGGAAUGGAGGUGUCUCAAGUACAGAAUGAGAUAAUUUUAAGCCAGAGAAGCUUUGCCACAAAGAUUCUGACCAGGUUCUCCAUGCAAAACAGCAAGGCAACUAAAACACCUGUUGCUGUUGGAGAAAAACUAUCGAGCCAAGGUGAUUUCAAGAAAGUUUGUGAAACAACCUACAGGAGUCUAGUUGGUUGCUUGCUAUACUUGACUGCCACUAGACCAGACAUCAUGUAUGCUGUAGGAUUGCUCUCAAGGUUCUUGCAUUGCUGCAAUGAGAAGCAUUUCCAAGCUGCAAAGAGAGUGCUAAGAUAUGUCAAAGGCACUUUAAACUAUGGUUUGAAGUACAGCAAAGAAGGAAAUCUGAAGCUGGUUGGCUACACUGAUAGUGACUGGGCUGGCUCGAUAGAUGACAUGAAAAGCACCUCAGGGUAUGCUUUUAACCUUGGUUCAGCCAUGUUUUGUUGGAGCUCAAAGAAGCAAAGUCUUGUAGCUCAAUCUACUGCUGAAGCAGAGUAUGUGGCAACAGCAAAUGCUGUCAACCAAGCCAUAUGGCUAAGGAAAAUAUUGGCUGACUUGAAUGUGCAUCAAAAUGAAGCUACUGAGAUCUUUUGUGACAACCAAUCUGCAGUAGCAAUUGCUAAAAAUCCAGUGUUCCAUGGAAGAACAAAACAUUUCAGCAUCAAGUUGCAUGUUGUUCGAGAAAUGGAGCAAGCUCAGGAAGUAAAGCUGAUCCACUGUAAUUCAGAGGAUCAACUUGCUGACAUUUUAACCAAAGCUCUUAGUGUCACAAGGUUCGAAUAUCUAAGAAAGAUGCUAGGUGUUUGCUCCAUGCAAACCAAGGAGGAGUGAUGAAGUUGGUUCAGCAUGCAGCAAACUCGACAGCAUGCAGGCCAUCAAGACCAAGUCAUGCAGGAGCUGCUGGAACGAGCUGAACUAUUCCUAUUUUGUUCAACUUGUAAUCUUAAGUUAAUGUAAUGUACUUUAGUUCAUUUAGAACUAUGUUAGGUUUAUGAUUGAUGUAUUUUGAUGACAAUUAAGCUGUUAAGUCAGCUUUGUUUAAGUGUGCAAGCUUAGUUUUUCAAGUUUCAAUGUAUUAGUGGUAGUAGGUGAUGAUUAGGUAUCAUUAUGCAGAUUUUGACAAGCAAAUUGCUUGGUUUAUGUAUUGGCAUUAUGCCAUUGUUCAACCUAUGAAUGAAGUUUAGUUUGUUCAUCAAUUUUCCUCUUCAUUUUCUUAGCUUUUUCCUUUCUUUCUUCUGGCUCGAAUUCUCUUGUUUGCUCAGCAAGUCUCGAGACUUGGUUGACAAGUUUGCACUGAUUCUGUUAAGUUUCAGUUACAGCACCAACAUUGGAUGAUAUAUGGGGAUGGUUUGAUCUCACAAGAGCUGGGGUACCUCUUCCACCAAAAGAAAAUGGCUCUAAAGUCAUUUUCACAACUCGUCGUUUUGACGUGUGCUGUCAAAUGCAACCGAACAUGGAUAGUAAUAUCAGAGUGGAAUGUUUACCACCAGGAGAAGCUUUCAAACUGUUCGAGGAGAA
Molecule: long non-coding RNA, 16290 nt
Filed under: Gossypium barbadense (sea-island cotton)
Lineage: Eukaryota; Viridiplantae; Streptophyta; Magnoliopsida; Malvales; Malvaceae
Description: long non-coding RNA (GBAR_LNC013114)
Source: RNAcentral